This 301-nucleotide ribosomal RNA is filed under the name uncultured bacterium. Its description in RNAcentral is "partial 16S ribosomal RNA". It matches the Rfam family "Bacterial small subunit ribosomal RNA", at positions 509 to 807 of the family's 1533-position model. The record is from RNAcentral.
CAGCCGCCGCGGUAAAACGAAGGGUGCAAGCGUUAAUCGGAAUUACUGGGCGUAAGGCGUGCGUAGGCGGUUUGUUAAGUCUGUUGUGAAAUCCCCGGGCUCAACCUGGGAAUGGCAAUGGAUACUGGCAAGCUAGAGUGUGUCAGAGGAUGGUGGAAUUCCCGGUGUAGCGGUGAAAUGCGUAGAGAUCGGGAGGAACAUCAGUGGCGAAGGCGGCCAUCUGGGACAACACUGACGCUGAGGCACGAAAGCGUGGGGAGCAAACAGGAUUAGAUACCCGCGUAGUCCCUGUCUCUUAUAC